Bos taurus (domestic cattle) is the source of this 1873-nucleotide long non-coding RNA. The record is from Ensembl. Lineage: Eukaryota; Metazoa; Chordata; Mammalia; Artiodactyla; Bovidae.
CGUGGAGUGGUGAUUGGAUCCUAGAUGAGGAGGGCGGGAUCAAAUCUUGCCCUGAGCUUUGAUUGGCCGCCGCUAGGUUGCCUACAGAAGCUCUUCCAGGGUACUGAGGUUUUCUGGAAUCACUUAAAGGCUACGAGCGCGGGGUCCACCGGCUCCGGGAUGCCAUUGGCUGCUGGAUUGGCGCAGGCGCUAUGGCUCCCGGGUCGGCGUUCGGAGUUGCUGAGGCAGGGCUUUGGCUACUGGACACUGUAGGUUCGAAUCCCAUCUAGGAACUUCAGUUUGCGCACCUGUAAAAGAAGCUGGUAUUAUUGGCUGGCACAGAAUGUGUUGGGGAAGUUUAAAAGGCAUUUUGGCUUCUGCCUUGCUUUCUGGGAUCUCUUGCUUUAGUGGAAGCCAUCCACCAUAUUGUGAGGAUACUCAAGCAGCCCCUUGGGGAGACACCUGUACCACAUAACUGAAGUAUCUCAGCCAAAAGCCAGCACUAAUUCAUUAGCCGGGACUUGAAGACUCUGAUCUGCUUGGUGGUGAAUAUCCCAGAGUGAGGUGUCUGAGCUCUUUGUAUGUAUAUGUCCCAGGGAGGGAGGGUCAUGACGGGUUUGUGGGUGUAUAUUGUGAGGUUUCAGAUCUGUUUAGAAGUGAAUUCCAGCAGGUGAUGUAUCUGAACUCAUUUUGAGUGUAUGUGCCAGGCUUUGAGAGCUCUCACAUGUUUUUCAGUAUAUGUGCUAGUGUGAGAAUGCUAAUCUGUUUCUGGGUGUACUACCCUACAUGUGAGGUCUCUGAACUCUUUGUAGGCUUAUGUUGCAGGAUUUUAGGUCUAUGAUUUCUUUAUGGCUAUAUUUUCCAGGUUUUUAGGUCCCUGAUCCGUUUGUGGGUAUAUGAAUCACAUAUGAGUUCCCUGAUUAGUUUGUGGGUAUGUGUCUCCCAGGACAUCAUGUCUCGACUGAUCUAUGCAUGUACAUCUCUGUUCAGCUGAAUACUGGCCUUCAAUAAUAUCCCCGUCUCAGUCCCUAGUGAAAGUGUUAGUCAUUGAGUCAUGUCUGACUCUGCAACCCCAGGCUCCUCUGUCCAUGGGAUUCUUUAGGCAAGAAUACUGGAGUGGGUUGCCAUUUCCUUCUCCAGGGGAUCUUCCUGACCCAGGGAUCGAACCUGGGUCUCCUGCACUGCAGGCAGAUUCUUUACCAUCUGAGCCACCUGGGAAGCCUGUGACUAUGUUAACUUUCUGGCAGAAGGGACUUUGCAGAUUUGAUUAAGUUAAUCACCAGGAGGCUGGGAGUUUAUCCUGGAUUAUCCAUGUGGGCCCAGUGUAGUCACUAAGGUCCUUACGUGUGGGAGGCACGAUGGUGAGAGUCAGAAAUGACACUGUGACAAUGCAGGCUGUCUAAGAAGGUGAUGUAAUGAUGGAAGCAGAGUUGGAGAAGGAGAUUUGACAGCUGAAACAGAGAGAAGAGAGAUCAGAGAGACAUUUGAAGAUGAAACGCUGCUGGCUUUGAAGAUGGAGGAAGGGACCAUGAACCAAGGACUGCAGACAGCCUCUAAAACUGGAAAAUGAAAGGAAGUGCAUUUUCCUGGAGCUUCCUGGAGGGAAGUAGCUCUGCUGACAACUUGACUUUAUCUCUGUAAGACUCAAUUUUAGGUCUCUGACCUAUAGAAGUGUAAGAUAAUAAAUUAGUGUUGUUUUACAAUACCAAGAUUUUAGUGAUUUGUUAUAGGAAAUGAAGAGUGUCCUGGGUUGUGAUGUCUGUAUCUGAUUGUCAGUGCCCAUCCCAGGAUGAGAACUCCAUUAUCUGUUGGUGAAUGUGUGUCAGACGGUGUGAGGGUGUGCCCCCCGAUUUUUGGUCUCUGAGCUGCUUGUUCCUGUAUGUCUCAGAAUGUG